ACACAUGCAAGUCGAACGAGAAUCUACUGAAAGAGUUUUCGGACAAUGGAUGUAGAGGAAAGUGGCGGACGGGUGAGUAACGCGUGAGGAACCUGCCUUGAAGAGGGGGACAACAGUUGGAAACGACUGCUAAUACCGCAUGAUGCAUAGGGGUCGCAUGAUCUUUAUGCCAAAGAUUUAUCGCUUCAAGAUGGCCUCGCGUCUGAUUAGCUAGUUGGCGGGGUAACGGCCCACCAAGGCGACGAUCAGUAGCCGGACUGAGAGGUUGAACGGCCACAUUGGGACUGAGAUACGGCCCAGACUCCUACGGGAGGCAGCAGUGGGGAAUAUUGGGCAAUGGGCGCAAGCCUGACCCAGCAACGCCGCGUGAAGGAAGAAGGCUUUCGGGUUGUAAACUUCUUUUAAGAGGGAAGAGCAGAAGACGGUACCUCUAGAAUAAGCCACGGCUAACUACGUGCCAGCAGCCGCGGUAAUACGUAGGUGGCAAGCGUUGUCCGGAUUUACUGGGUGUAAAGGGCGUGCAGCCGGGUCUGCAAGUCAGAUGUGAAAUCCAUGGGCUCAACCCAUGAACUGCAUUUGAAACUGUAGAUCUUGAGUGUCGGAGGGGCAAUCGGAAUUCCUAGUGUAGCGGUGAAAUGCGUAGAUAUUAGGAGGAACACCAGUGGCGAAGGCGGAUUGCUGGACGAUAACUGACGGUGAGGCGCGAAAGUGUGGGGAGCAAACAGGAUUAGAUACCCUGGUAGUCCACACUGUAAACGAUGAAUACUAGGUGUGCGGGGACUGACCCCCUGCGUGCCGCAGUAAACACAAUAAGUAUUCCACCUGGGGAGUACGAUCGCAAGGUUGAAACUCAAAGGAAUUGACGGGGGCCCGCACAAGCGGUGGAUUAUGUGGUUU
Molecule: ribosomal RNA, 897 nt
Filed under: uncultured bacterium
Lineage: Bacteria
Description: bacterial SSU rRNA
Rfam family: Bacterial small subunit ribosomal RNA
Source: RNAcentral